GACGAACGCUGGCGGCGUGCUUAACACAUGCAAGUCGAACGGAAAGGCCCUGCUUUUGUGGGGUGCUCGAGUGGCGAACGGGUGAGUAACACGUGAGUAACCUGCCCUUGACUUUGGGAUAACUUCAGGAAACUGGGGCUAAUACCGGAUAGGAGCUCCUGCUGCAUGGUGGGGGCUGGAAAGUUUCGGUGGUUGGGGAUGGACUCGCGGCUUAUCAGCUUGUUGGUGGGGUAGUGGCUUACCAAGGCUUUGACGGGUAGCCGGCCUGGGAGGGUGACCGGCCACAGUGGGACUGAGGUACGACCCAGACGCCAACGGGAGGCAGAGGUGGGAAAUAGAGCACGAAGGGCGGAAUCCUGAUACAACGACUCCGGGUGCUGGAGGACGGCCGUCGGGUUAUAAACCGCUUUCGCCUGUGACGAAGCGUGAGUGACGGUAAUUGAUAAAGAAGCACCGGCUAACUACGUG
RNAcentral lists this ribosomal RNA (468 nucleotides) under uncultured bacterium. RNAcentral's name for it is "partial 16S ribosomal RNA". It matches the Rfam family "Bacterial small subunit ribosomal RNA", at positions 28 to 507 of the family's 1533-position model. The record is from RNAcentral.